This is a long non-coding RNA of Eriocheir sinensis (Chinese mitten crab), 2765 nucleotides long. RefSeq lists it as uncharacterized. The record is from RefSeq and is a predicted model, not a curated record. NCBI's taxonomy places the organism in Eukaryota, Metazoa, Arthropoda, Malacostraca, Decapoda, Varunidae. The transcript has 4 exons.
UUUUCUCCUCUUCUCUCCAUUUUCCUUCCUCUGUUUAGCUCUUCUUUCCCUCUUCUCUUCUCUUCUCUCUUCAUUUUCUCCUCUUCUCUCCAUUUUCCUUCCUCUGUUUAUCUCUUCUUUCCCUCUUCUCUUCUCUUCUCUCUUCAUUUUCUCCUCUUCUCUCCAUUUUCCUUCCUCUGUUUAGCUCUUCUUUCCCUCUUCUCUUCUCUUCUCUCUUCAUUUUCCUUUCUCUGUAUAGCUUAUUUUCCCUCUUCUCUUCUCUCCUCUCUCCAUUUGCUCCUCUUCUCUUCAUUUUCCUUCCUGUUUAGCUCUUUUUUCCCUCUUCUCUCUUCAUCUUCUCUCCUCUCCUUUAAUCUUCACAGUCAUCUCCCCCCAUCACUCAAUGAGACAGCCCAUCCCCUUCAUCUCCUCUCCCAUCACUUUCCCUUUCUCCUCCCCUUCCUUUCACUUUCCUCCACUCUACAAAAAUACUUCUCCAUUACUUCUUCUAUUUUUUUCUUUUUUCCUCCAUUUCUCUUCCCUUCUCUCUCUUCUCCAAUACUUCUCUUCCCUUUUCUCUUCUUUCUUUUCCUCUCCUCUCCUCCAUAUCCCUUCCCUUUCCUUUCUUCUCCUCUUCCCAUCGCUUCAAAAAAAUGCAUCUUCCCUUUCUCUCCCUUCCUCCUUUUCCUCCCCUUCUAUUACCUCUCCUUUCCUCCCUCUAAAUCAUCUUCACUCUUGUAUAUCUUGAUGAGAGUGAGAUAAAAGAUAAUGAUUGAGAGUGCUUACUUGUUCAGUUCAGAUAUCUUAAUGAGUGAGAUAGUGAGAGAGUAAGUGUGAGAUGAAGACUGAUGUAAAAUCUCUCUCUUGACUCACUUGCUCACUCACUCGAAAUCUUAAUGAGAUAAAAAGUUGAAUAAAAAAUGUUUGUCAUUAUUUUCUCUCUUUAACCGGUCUGCUGCGAUUGGCACGGAUUUUGCCUUCACUGGUAGCCUGGUAACAUACACUCCCAGGUCUUUCUCUGCCUCUGUGGUGGAUAGUGCAGUGUUUCCCAUGUGGUAUUGGUGUGCUGGAUAUCCCUUCACUGGUAGCCUGGUAACAUACACUCCCAGGUCUUUCUCUGCCUCUGUGGUGGAUAGUGGAGUGUUUCCCAUGUGGUAUUGGUGUGCUGGAUAUCCCUUCACUGGUAGCCUGGUAACAUACACUCCCAGGUCUUUUUCUGCCUCUGUGGUGGAUAGUGGAGUGUUUCCCAUGUGGUAUUGGUGUGCUGGAUAUCCCUUCACUGGUAGCCUGGUAACAUACACUCCCAGGUCUUUCUCUGCCUCUGUGGUGGAUAGUGCAGUGUUUCCCAUGUGGUAUUGGUGUGCUGGAUAUCCCUUCACUGGUAGCCUGGUAACAUACACUCCCAGGUCUUUCUCUGCCUCUGUGGUGGAUAGUGGAGUGUUUCCCAUGUGGUAUUGGUGUGCUGGAUAUCCCUUCACUGGUAGCCUGGUAACAUACACUCCCAGGUCUUUCUCUGCCUCUGUGGUGGAUAGUGCAGUGUUUCCCAUGUGGUAUUGGUGUGCUGGAUAUCCCUUCACUGGUAGCCUGGUAACAUACACUCCCAUGUCUUUCUCUGCCUCUGUGGUGGAUAGUGGAGUGUUUCCCAUGUGGUAUUGGUGUGCUGGAUAUCCCCUCCCAAGGUGGAGGACUUCACAUUUUUCUUCAUUGAAUUGUAGCAGCCACUUUUUGUUCCAUCCCUGUAGCUUGGUGAUGUCUUCUUGUAGGAAAUCCACAGUCAAGGGGUUAAAUUCAUGUCUUCUGAUACUUUACUCACAAUCUCUCCCCUCAUUCUAUCAUUACAUCUGGAGUUACCUAUAUGAAAACAAGUGUAAUAAUUAAUCUUCUCAGCAUUCUUUUUAAAUUCAUGUCUUUAUCUUACUGAAUAUCAAGGGUCGUAUUGUAAGGCAUUCCAUAGCCCAAGAACACAUAUUUGACAAGGUUUUCAUAGGAGUUGAGGGCAUUUCCAGGAGUAGUUUUAUGACCCCGGUAGUAGUGUGACCCUUCCUCUGUACCGUGAACCUGAAGAAACACUCAUUAGAACCCGACUGACCCCCUCUUUGACCUUUAGAAAUAGCUGAUUUGAGAAGCGAAAAUGUCUGAUAAUACCAAUCCAAAUCUCUUCAUGUCUUUUAUUCACUAACUCUCUUCUCUUUCCAACUCUCGUCAACACAUGAGAACCUGACUGACCCCCUCUUUGACCUUUAGAAAUAGCUGAUUUGAGAAGCGAAAAUGUCUGAUAAUACCAAUCCAAAUCUCUUCAUGUCUUUUAUUCACUUACUCAAUCUCUCUCUUCCCAACUCUCAUCAACACAUCUAUAUAUACCUUCAUAACAACACGAAGAAUACUAUACCCCUUUCAGUUUUCACAUAUCAGAACACUACACCUGUUAAGCUCUAUUUUAAAUCAGUCUUUCCUUAAAAACUGUGUGGCGUAAAUUCAAGGUUCGCCAAAAUGCAUUAAUCUUGGGAAACGCCGGGGAAAAAUAUGCAUCUUAGUGCAAGUAAAUUUAUGUAGGGAAAUAUCUCGGGGAAUAUCCUUAAGGUCGUAGUGCGAGUCAACUUAAAAUAACAAACUUUUUAAAUCCUAAGGUCUUUUUUCUCGAGUCUUUGGUGUGUCUAAGUUUCUACAGCAUUUAUGUCUUUUGUAUAUAUAUAAUUUUUGUUUAUUUUCCCUAUAGAUAAAACCCUGAAAAUUUUGGUCUGUAUUCCACACUCACACACUCUCACACACACACACACACACACACA